CCUACGGGUGACAGCAGUGAGGAAUAUUGGUCAAUGGGCGCGAGCCUGAACCAGCCAAGUAGCGUGAAGGAUGACUGCCCUACGGGUUGUAAACUUCUUUUAUAAAGGAAUAAAGUGAGGCACGUGUGCCUUUUUGUAUGUACUUUAUGAAUAAGGAUCGGCUAACUCCGUGCCAGCAGCCGCGGUAAUACGGAGGAUCCGAGCGUUAUCCGGAUUUAUUGGUUUUAAAGGGAGCGUAGAUGGGUUGUUAAGUCAGUUGUGAAUGUUUGCGGCGCAACCGUAAAAUUGCAAUUGAUACUGGCAGGCUUGAGUACAGGUGAGGUAGGCGGAAUUCGUGGUGUAGCGGUGAAAUGCUUAGAUAUCACGAAGAACUACGAUUGCGAAGGCAGCUUACUAAGCUGCCACUGACAUUGAUGCUCGAAAGUGUGGGUAUCAAACAGGAUUAGAUACCCUAGUAGUC
This 460-nucleotide ribosomal RNA is filed under the name uncultured bacterium. Its description in RNAcentral is "partial 16S ribosomal RNA". It matches the Rfam family "Bacterial small subunit ribosomal RNA", at positions 338 to 795 of the family's 1533-position model. The record is from RNAcentral.